ACUAUAUGAUGUUCUAAUAUUACGUUUCUGUUUCCACUUCAUCGUCCUAUUUCGGGGUCAGGAGGAGCGGAUACAUUCCAUCAUAUAGUCUUCCUGUGCAUCCCUUUUGAUGAUUCUCCUCUCAGUUGGACUCUAGUUAUCAUGACUCAAGGCGAGUCCCAGAUGCAGACACAGGAGGCAGAUGGUUGGAGUCUAAGAUGUUUAAUCAUCCAAAAGGAAUAGGCAAGACAAUGGUCGUGGACAGGCAAAAGGUCAAAACCAGUUCAGAGUCCAGGAGGUACAGAGUGGCAGACGGGCUCAUGGUCAAAGGCAGGCAGAAUGGUCAGGCAGGCGGGUACAGAGUCCAGAAAGAGAAGGUGAGAAACCCUCCUCCACUAUGCUGUGGUGUCACCAGACCACGUCCGCCCUGGAGUGUGUCCUUCUGAUGAAACAGUGCUGGAACGAACAGGCAGACAGGCGCACUUUGAUGACAUCUUUGACCGGGUACCUUAGCCAGGAGACAUCCGAGGCAUCAAAAACUGCUCACAAUCGGCGUCUUCAUGAAAUCAAGAAAGAAACAAACAUUUGACUAAGGGAACCUUUUGUCAGUGAAAUUUCAAUCAAUUUCACCAUUCAUUUAACCCUGUUCCCAAUCAAUCCCAGUUUAAGAACAUUAACAAAAGGGAGGGAGGCCAACAUUCUAGACACUGUGCUAUGGAUCCUGGAGCAGUACUCGUCUAGCACGGAGGAGCUGAUCCGAGAGAGUUGGAGAUAGAGCAACAGAAGACUGAGAAACUACUCACUCAGAAGCUGCCUCCGUGACUAACAGACAACAACAACACACACCCUCAAAGAAACUGUCUAGGAUGUACACUUUUAUCCACUUUCAAUUGAAUAGGGCCCUAAGUGGUGUGUUUCAGUCAACAGGAAAGCGUAAGUCCUCUCAACUGUCACCAGAAAUCACAAUAUGGCUAAAAUAUGAAGCAAUUCUAAGCUGCGUUUUACCCAUCGCUUUAUCCCACACUCCCAAAAUAGGAUUUUCCCU
This is a long non-coding RNA of Oncorhynchus tshawytscha (Chinook salmon), 1024 nucleotides long. The record is from Ensembl. Lineage: Eukaryota; Metazoa; Chordata; Actinopteri; Salmoniformes; Salmonidae.